This 1640-nucleotide long non-coding RNA is filed under the name Marmota monax (woodchuck). Lineage: Eukaryota; Metazoa; Chordata; Mammalia; Rodentia; Sciuridae. The record is from RNAcentral.
GACCACAGGACCAGGGUGAUUCUACCUCAUGUGCAACCAGAAGGAGAAGUGACACUCCAUCUAUGUAGGACAUGUUCAAGUGCAGUCUACUGUCAUGUGUCACUAAGUAGGAUAAAUCAAAAAAGAACUAAGGGAGACACAUCCUUUUCUGUAAAGAUAGAAAUCCAAGUGCAAUGGUGGCUUAAUUAAUUGGUUCUUCUGUCCUCAGAGACUGUUCCAUAGAAGCUGGAUUCCGUGGAGCAGCGGGAACUCCUUGAUGUGUCCUGCGUGUCCCCAUCCCCCAGGACUCUGCUCAGGGCAGAUUAUACCUCUCCGUCCUCGGGAUGGGGCCUUUGAUUCUGCAUUUCUAACAAGCUCCCUGAUGAAGUUGAGGGACCUCCCACAGACUCGCCGGGAGCAGAAAGCAGUCGGAGCGUCAAAGUGACUGUGCGGAGAUCACACAAUGGAAUAUUACUCAGCCCUGUUUGAUGUGGGGCUUCAAUUAGUGUCGAUCGUCACCGUCCCUUGAUGAGACACGGAAUAGAUGGGAGUGUGGAAUGUCUGGCUCCACCAGGGUAUAUUUCGACAUCUGAGCUUGCAGAACUGAGUUAUUUGUGUCCCAGUGGGUGACCCUGUCAGCCCCAUGCACAUUCUGACCCUGUGUCUUUGGGGCAGGGUCUGAGAUGCUGCUUUUGCAUCAAACUCUUGGUUGCUCCUCCUCCUCCCUUCUAGAUGGUGCCUGGGAAAUUCCUUGUCUGGAGUCUUCAUUGAGCUGUUGCUUUUAAAUUUUGAUUGCAAUUGAGAAAAUUGAGAUGUUUCAAGGGGGCAGAGCUCAGGGUGGGAACUCCCCUCGUGUGCACAAAGCCAGGAGUUUGAUUCCUACCAUUGCAAAAAAAAAAAUGCAUAAAGGGUUUGUUUUCAAAGAAAAUCGACAUCUGGACGCCGUGCAUCAUGGAGAGAAAGACUCACCUUUUGCAAACAGUAGGGACAUUUUUGUUGCUGGCCCCCACCGAUGAUUCAAGGUUGGUCCCUUGUCCUCGGAUCCCAUGGAGACUUACUGGCCACAACUCUAAUGAAGACCCCUGCCACCUGCCUGCAGACCCUGUCAAUUCUCCCUUCACUUAAUUACUGAAAUUUAUUAAUCAAUCCAUCUCCCUGGCAGUGGGCUCCGUGUUGACCAGGAGACAUCCAGGGUCACAGGGCUGCUGUCUGGAUCACAUUAGCGGGUCACUGAGGGAAACCAUCCUGGAAGGUUUUCUGCAUGAUCCUAAUUAGUCUGAUUAACCCCUAAGAGUGCCCACAGAGGUCAGUGUCCAGGAAAACCCGAAAGAGGGGGACAGGAUGGCAAACUGCCCCAGCAAACUUCCAGCUGCCAGCUGAUUGGCUCCUCUGCGGUGAUGCUCAUUGGGCUGUUUCCCCGCCCUUUCAGACCACGGAGCUGCUCAUUGGGGGACUCUUUUGGCUCCGCCCACGCGACCCAGCCAAUCGGCCUCAAGGGCGGGAAGAGUGCUGGUUGAGGUGCUCGCAGGAAGGCCGGAGGUGGCAGUUGGGCUCUGAGGGAAUUCCUGGAGAGCUCGUGUGGUGCAGCGUGUGUGUUCUAAAAAUAAAGUUCGUUUCUGCUUGACAAGUGGCUCCUGAAUUGUGCCCAGCCAGACUGCAAC